CAGCAACAAAGUGCAGCCAAACUGCACAUAGAAAAAAGGCAACCAUCAGAUCAAAUAUUAAGGGGAAAAAAGAAGAAACCAAUCUAUACUUUCAACAACAUUCUUUUUUGUUCCUAAAGGGUAAGGGUGUAAAUAUGCUGAGCCACUUGCGAGUUAGAUCGAUAAAAAUAGGCUUGACUUGUUUAUUAUAAAAGCUUGACUUAGCUCACUUAUUAAACAAGUCAAACUUGAGUUUCCUUAUACUCAGCUAAACACUCACUAAUAAUCGGCUCAUUUAGAAUUGAAAAUUGACUCAUUUAUACACUCAUAAACUGACUCACAUAACAAGUUCAUGAAUGAGCUCAUUAAAUAGGCUUGUAAUAUGUCUCGCUUAUAAGCUCAUGAUUUGAUUUGUUUACAAACUCUCAAUGGGUUUUGUCCUUUAGGGAGAUCAACCAACUCCCAAACAUGGUUGGACCUCUUAGACUCCAUUCAUCUUCCAUCGCCUUCAAUCAUUUUCCCUUGGUAGGAGAGGACAAAACUUCAUUAAAAUUGCUUGGUUCAUUAUCUUAUGGUAGGUAACCAACAAACUUUUUCCUUCGAUCUUAAAUUUAUGUCAGGAAAUGUUUCCAUUAUUGCUUCGACACAAUUCUGAUUCUUGAGAAACGAAGUCAUUGUCUCCCAAUUGUUCCCACUAGGAUCAGAUGGCCUAGGCACAAGUAAAGGUGCGCUUUGCCUUGGUGGGAUUGGGUCAUCUUGAUCCGCCAUCUCAAAUAGAGACAAAUCCCUAUUUAUUUCCCUUUUGCUAGAAAACUAUUCCUCUAAAAACACAAUUCUAGAUUCAAAUUUGGUAUAUCCUCUUCCUUCGUGUUCUCCAAUGAACAUGUAUCCUUUUAAAUGUUUAGAGUAACAUAUAAACGUACAUUUCUUGCCCCUUGGUCCCAAUUUACCAAGUUUAUCAGAUCUGUUAUGUACAUAUGCAGAACUUCCCCAUGGCUUCAUGUUACUCAAAUCAAGCUUCAGAUUUUUGUCCACACCUCGUGAAGUGGAGGAUAUUGAUUUUGUGAGCACACGAUUUAAAACAUAGGCAACAAUUAAAAGACCAUCGCCCCAAAAGGAAAUAGUCAAUUGGCUUUCGCCAUCAUUGACCUUACCAUAUCAAGAACUCCAUUUCUUUUUUCAGCUACACCAUUUUGUUGUUCUAUACCAGGAAUAGUCAAAUACUCAAACGUCUGUCUAUCCAUUUUUCAUCAUAUAAGUGUCUAAAUUGGUCAGUUCUUAAAACUUUGACCCUUUGAUUUAAUUAAUUCUUAACAAGGUUCAAGAACCUCGGAAAACAAUCAAACGCACUGAAUUUGUGAGAUAUUAAAUACACAAAACCAAAAUGAGUCUAAUCAUCAAUAAAAGUAAUGAAAUAAUUUGCUCGAUGUAUUGCCCUUACAUUCAUUGAACCAUAAAUAUCUAAAUGUAUUAAUUGCAAUGAAAAUUCAACCCUAGUACCUUUUCCAAAUGGCUUUCUGGCCAUCUUCCCAACUAAGUAAUGUUCACAAACAUUGAGUUCUACCCUAUCAAAUGGCCUUAAGGCUUUGUUUGGAUGGGAUGAAGGAA
Molecule: unclassified non-coding RNA, 1587 nt
Filed under: Hevea brasiliensis (rubber tree)
Lineage: Eukaryota; Viridiplantae; Streptophyta; Magnoliopsida; Malpighiales; Euphorbiaceae
Source: RNAcentral